UGAAGAAGGUUAGAUCACAUGCUGCCUGGGUUCUAGUCCUGAAGAAGGUUAGAUCACAUGCUGCCUGGGUUCUAGUCCUGAAUAGGGUUAGAUUACAUGCUGCCUGGGUUCUAGUCCUGAAUAGGGUUAGAUUACAUGCUGCCUGGGUUCUAGUCCUGAAGAAGGUUAGAUCACAUGCUGCCUGGGUUCUAGUCCUGAAGAAGGUUAGAUUACAUGCUGCCUGGGUUCUAGUCCUGAAGAAGGUUAGAUCACAUGCUGCCUGGGUUCUAGUCCUGAAGAAGGUUAGAUUACAUGCUGCCUGGGUUCUAGUCCUGAAGAAGGUUAGAUUACAUGCUGCCUGGGUUCUAGUCCUGAAUAGGGUUAGAUUACAUGCUGCCUGGGUUCUAGUCUCGAAGAAGGUUAGAUUACAUGCUGCCUGGGUUCUAGUCCUGAAUAGGGUUAGAUUACAUGCUGCCUGGGUUCUAGUCCAGAGACUCGUUGACUUCCUUCUAUUGUGUUUUAUUUUUGUAAUUUUUGCAUUAAAAAAACGAAUGGUGUUUAACUAACAUGUUAAAUCUUACAACCUGCUGUACAGACGUCCAUAUCACAGACAUACUGUAGCUACACAAUACAGACGUACAGGGCCUUCAGAGAGUAUUCAUACCCCUUGACUUAUUCCACAUUUGGUUGUUUUACAGCCUGAAUUCAAAAUGGAUUUUUUUAUUUUCACCGAUCUACACAAUUGGGCAAAAUUCCAAAGUGAAAACAUGUUUUUAGAAAUGUUGGCUAUUUUAUUGAAAAUUAAAUACAGAAUUGUCUCUUUUUUUCUAUAUGAGUAUUCACACCCCUAAGUCAAUAUUUUGUAGAAGCACCUCUGGGUGAGUCUCUAAGAGCUGGAUUGAUCAUUGAUAGACAACCAUUUUCAGGUCUUGCUAUAGAUGUUCAAGUAGAUUUAAGUUAAAACUGUAACUCUGCCACUCUGGAACAUUUACUGUCUUCUUGGUAAGCAACUGUCUUCCUCUCUGGCAACUGAGUUAGGAAGAAGGACGCCUGUAUAUUUGUAGUGACUGGGUGUAUUGAUACACCGGUAGUGUAAUGAAUAACUUCACCACGAUCGAAGGGUUACCCAGUGUCUGUUUUUUAUAUGUUUACACCAUCUACCAAUAGGUGACCUUCUUUGCAAAAACAUUGGAAAACCUCCCUGGUCUUUGUGGUUAAAUCUGGGAUUGAAAUUCACUGCUCAUCUGAGGAACCUUACAGAUAAUUGUAUGUGUGGAGAACAGAGAUGAGAUAGUCAUUAAAAAAUCAUGUUUAAACACUAUUUUUACACACAGAGUGAAUCCAUGCAACUUAUUAUGCAAAUAUUUACUCCUGAUUUAGACUUGCUGUAACAACGGGGUUUGGAUACUUAUUGACUCAAGACAUUUCAGUUUUUCAUUUUUAAUUACUGUGUAAAAAAAUAAUAAUUUAAAAACAUAAUUCCACUUUGACAUUAUGGGGUAUUGUGAUGUCACGAUGGGGUAUUGUGAUGUCACGAUGGGGUAUUGUGAUGUCACGAUGGGGUAUUGUGAUGUCACGAUGGGGUAUUGUGAUGUCACGAUGGGGUAUUGUGAUGUCACGAAGGGGUAUUGUGAUGUCACGAUGGGGUAUUGUGAUGUCACGAUGGGGUAUUGUGAUGUCACGAUGGGGUAUUGUGAUGUCACGAUGGGAUAUUGUGUGUAGAGGCCAGUGAUACAGAACCUCAAUUGAAUAAAUUUUAAAAUUCUGUAACAACAACAAAAUGUGGAGAAAGUCAAUGGGUGUGAGACUUUAAAGGCGUUGUACAUAUAUCAGAGACGUAUAUUACAGACUUACAUAUUACAGAUUGACAUAUUAUAGACAUACAUAUUAAGCCCUUUUUAUUAAGCCCAUAUUAAGCCCUGGGGGUGAUAAUUCCAUAGCCAACGUUCUAUAGUAAUACCAGUCCCCUGUGAAUAGGGCUCUACUGUACAUUAAGACACUGUAGUGUUUUACACAGUGAUAUAAAUAUGAAAAAAGACGCAGUCCUCGGUAGUAGACCGUGACACACACACACACAGAGAUAGACACACAAACACUGACCAUAACAGAAUCAUUUGCACAACAUCUAUGCGAAAUGCCUAAAGUUGUAUAUGAAUAUAUAUUUAAUUGCGUUAAUAGUUGCGGCCUGCGCUAGGAGGCAGCAGCGUUGUUGGUUUAGUAGCUAUACUGAAUGCCCAAAAGAAAUGUUUUACAUAAUGUAUUGUUUGAGUGGGAUUUUGUUGUACUGCAGCUUUGCUUUAAAACAGAAGAUGUGUGCUUGGCUGGUCAACCAACCCCCCCCUAUGACCCUAACAUGCUAGCUAGAUAGCCUGGAAGGAAAGGUUGGAACACACAGGGUCUUGUUGCCGCGGCAACCUUCAAAUCCUGCUUUCAUUUUAAAUUUACAUAUAUAUAUUUUUCUUUUUAGAUGUUACCAUAGAAACCAGUUCCCAGAAGAUGAUGUCUAAAAUUUUAACUGUGUUCCUGUACAUUUUAAAGAUGAAAUAGCCUAUUUUAAAGAUGAAAUAGCCUAUUUUAAAGAAGAAAUACCCUAUUUUAAAGAAGAAAUACCCUAUUUGAAUGUUUUUUUAAAUGUCAUUUGUACUGUAAAUACAAUCCUCGUGGGAAGUAUAAUGUCAUGCUUGAGUCACCCUGGCCCUAGAACAUGAGGCGUAGAGUGCACACCAGUUAUUCUGUCUGAACUACGUUUUUAAUCCACUAUUUGAAAUUGAAAUUGAGUACAUGGGCUUUUUUUCUCAUUCCUUAAUUUCAGAAUAAUCUUUUAUUUUUUUUACCAAAGAUACUGAGGAAACCUUUUUAUCAGCUCCAGGAUUCUGAACCGUCCCUUUUGCAGCAGCAAUUUAAUCGAUAAUCAGACCAUUUCCUUUCUCUAAGAAACUGCACAUUCUCUUGUGCUAAGAGUAUAGUAUAAGAGGUGUGUGUGUGUGUGUGUGUUGGUUAGGAUAGCUUAACAGGGUGAGUUACACCAGAGCCCCCCACGUGAAUGUUUUGGUUUUUGCCCCUAGCACUAAACAGCUGAUUUCAAAUAAUCAACGCUUGAUGAUAAAUUGGUUAAUUUAAUCCGCUGUGUAGUGCUUAGGGCAAAAAAACAAAGGACUGAGUUUGGGAAACACUGAGUUACACCAUGCCAAAUUAACCUGUCAUACUUGCUGCCAUGGCAACAUUACAAUAUAUCACGCAGACCCAUCAGCCAAGAUACUGAAACCAUCCAACCAACACACACACACACACACACACACACUCAGAGACAAUUCUGGAGACUCCCUAAACUAAUUCUCAUCUCUCGCUCGACUUCAUAUGUACCCGGUCAGGGUGACUCUGUGGGUGUUUCUGCGUACUAGCGUGCGCCGAGCACUGGAGGGUCGGAGCAGGAGUCCAAAUCAAAGUAUGUGAAACAGAGGACGGAUGGCACUUCUCUAAAACAUCGAUGCUUCAGCAGAAAGUAUCCAAGAAAAAAUAUGAUGCAAAAACCACGUAAAAAAAAUGAAAUGACAUUUCUUGAAAUCGAUGGCGGACAUUAUUUGAGCUAAAGCGAGAGAAAAUAACACUCUUGACUUCCGAAUGAAAUGUCGCCUAUUCAAAUCACAUAUGUUGCCUGACUACAAUAUUUUAUCUUAAUAAAUCAGUAACUAGAUGCUGUAUUAAUCUUGGCGUGUUUUACCUACCUACAUACCGUAGAUCACAAGUCCAUAAUAAGUCUAUAGGGCUAACAGGCUAGCAACUAGUACUGUUAGCUAGGCAGAUAGCCACAAAGAAUUGUUAGCUAGCUACCCACGAAGAGUUGACAUCUCCGACUCUCCACAGUUUUAGGUCAUGUUUGCCUGUUUAAACUAUCUGGUUAGCUACAUUAUUACAAUUCACAUACGUAGCUGAAAGUUAUGAACUAAAAUGUUUGCUUUGUGCGUAUCUCGUUUGGUCUCUAUUGUUGCAAUUGUCCUGGCUGGAAGAAGGGUCAGUGAACGGGGAGGUGCAGCAUGAGGUAAUACAGUAGGGGGAGGAGUAGCGUGAGGUAAUACAGUAGGGGGAGUGCUGCUCAGCAUGAGGUAAUACAGUAGGGGGAGGUGCAGCAUGAGGUAAUACAGUAGGGGAGGUGCAGCAUGAGGUAAUACACUAGGGGAGGUGCUGCUCAGUGUGAGGUAUUACAGUAGGGGAGUGCAGCGUGAGGUAUUACAGUAGGGGGAGUGCAGUGUGAGGUAUUACAGUAGGGGGAGUGCUGCUCAGUGUGAGGUAUUACAGUAGGGGGAGUGCAGUGUGAGGUAUUACAGUAGGGGGAGUGCAGUGUGAGGUAUUACAGUAGGGGAGGUGCAGCGUGAGCUAAUACAGUAGGGGAGUGCUGCUCAGCGUGAGGUAAUACAGUAGGGGGAGUGCUGCUCAGCGUGAGGUAAUACAGUAGGGG
Long non-coding RNA from Oncorhynchus tshawytscha (Chinook salmon), 4435 nucleotides. Lineage: Eukaryota; Metazoa; Chordata; Actinopteri; Salmoniformes; Salmonidae. The record is from Ensembl.